This 542-nucleotide ribosomal RNA is filed under the name uncultured eubacterium WJGRT-102. RNAcentral's name for it is "bacterial SSU rRNA". It matches the Rfam family "Bacterial small subunit ribosomal RNA", at positions 38 to 576 of the family's 1533-position model. The record is from RNAcentral.
GGCGGUAUGCUUUACACAUGCAAGUCGAACGGAUUAAAGAGCUUGCUCUUUAGUUAGUGGCGAACGGGUGAGUAAUAUAUCGGAACGUGUCCGGAAAUGGGGGAUAGCUCGGCGAAAGCGGCAUUAAUACCGCAUAUGCCCUGAGGGGGAAAGUGGGGGAUCCGCAAGGACCUCACGUUUUCGGAGCGGCCGAUAUCAGAUUAGCUAGUUGGUGGGGUAAAGGCCUACCAAGGCAUCGAUCUGUAGCUGGUCUGAGAGGACGACCAGCCACACUGGAACUGAGACACGGUCCAGACUCCUACGGGAGGCAGCAGUGGGGAAUUUGGACAAUGGGCGAAAGCCUGAUCCAGCCAUGCCGCGUGAGUGAAGAAGGCCUUCGGGUUGUAAAGCUCUUUCAGCCGGAAAGAAAACGCAUCUCCUAAUACGAGGUGUGGAUGACGGUACCGGAAGAAGAAGCACCGGCUAACUACGAUCCAGCACCCGCGGUAAUACGUAGGGUGCCAGCGUUAAUCGGAAUUACUGGGNGUAAAGCGUGCGCAGGC